RNAcentral lists this ribosomal RNA (115 nucleotides) under Acanthosepion pharaonis. Lineage: Eukaryota; Metazoa; Mollusca; Cephalopoda; Sepiida; Sepiidae. The record is from RNAcentral.
UUACGGUCAAAUCACGCUGAAAACACCGGUUCUCGUUCGAUCACCGAAGUUAAGCAUCGUAGAGCCAGGCCAGUACUUAGAUGGGGGACCGCUUGGGAACACCUGGUACUGUAAG